Molecule: ribosomal RNA, 425 nt
Filed under: uncultured bacterium
Lineage: Bacteria
Description: partial 16S ribosomal RNA
Rfam family: Bacterial small subunit ribosomal RNA
Source: RNAcentral
GUUAGGAAUAUUGGACAAUGGGCGAAAGCCUGAUCCAGCCAUGCCGCGUGAACGAUGAAGGCCUUCGGGUUGUAAAGUUCUUUAGCCGAUGAUUAUAAUGACUGUAGUCGGAAAAUAAGCCCCGGCUAACUUCGUGCCAGCAGCCGCGGUAAUACGAAGGGGGAGAGCGUUAUUCGGAAUCACUGGGCGUAAAGCGUGCGUAGGCGGUUUUGUAAGUUAGGAGUGAAAGCCCAGGGCUCAACCUUGGAAUUGCUCUUAAAACUGCAAUGCUCGAAUCUCGGAGAAGAUAGCGGAAUUUCCAGUGUAGCAGUGAAAUGCGUAGAUAUUGGAAGGAACACCAGUGGCGUAAGCGGCUAUCUGGACGAGUAUUGACGCUGAGGCACGAAAGCGUGGGGAUCAAACAGGAUUAGAUACCCUUGUAGUCC